Long non-coding RNA from Liolophura sinensis, 968 nucleotides. RefSeq lists it as uncharacterized. NCBI's taxonomy places the organism in Eukaryota, Metazoa, Mollusca, Polyplacophora, Chitonida, Chitonidae. The transcript is spliced from 3 exons. The record is from RefSeq and is a predicted model, not a curated record.
CAUUGAUUUACAUAUAAAUUUUGACGCCAUUUUUUCCCCAUGGUCACAUGCUCUUACUGAAUUUUCAUUGGUUAAAAAUGAAUGGAGAGAUAUUUAAUACACACACAAAGCAAAACAGCGUAAGUAAGGCAUUGUUCAUUCUAGUCUCUGUCAUGUGACACUGUCAACCACAAGUUUUCUGUGCUCAGCUGUUUGAGGUUCAUACAUUUUAGAAAGUCAUUUCUUUGUUAGUUCUGAAAAGCCAUGGAUUCAGGCUUUCAUCAGACAGCAGUCAGAUGAAAAAACACUAGAUUAUUCAAGUUGUGAUAGAAUUAAAGUGUUUUAGAGGUGUUCAAGGCAGAUGAACAUGGUGACGUUUUAAUGUGCAAAUACAUGCUUGUGUCACAUGCGUUUGUCACAUGUAUCCGGUACUACAUUUGAAAAAUGUCUACUCAAUAUUUGGUCAGCCUCAUUCAGGGAAGCAUCAAUGAAUUGACGUUCCACCCUGGCUGGAUCACGGAAGAAAAACAGAAGCAGGCACAACUAUGAGGCUUUACGUUAAGAGUUCGAUGUACGUUACCAAGACCGCGGAGGCUGCUCUCUGUUGUGACACGAGAUUAGAGCUGUCUGGCUUGGUCAGGCCGGAGCGCAAGCGCUCUCGCGAGGCUGUCGCAGGCGAACAGCGAGGACACAUGUUUUGAUACAGGCUUGUGUCAAGAUCGAGGAUAUUUGCCGACAACGCCUGAAGAAGAGGAAGGCACGCGGAUGAACAGAUGAUCGCACCGACGUGCAUACCGAUGGACAGAGAUGAAUAUAUGAUGGGACGGAUGGAAUGACGUCCACACACAUGAAGACAGUGGUGAAUGAACUGAUGGGACGGACGAAAUGUCGCCCAUGCAGAUGGAGAGAUUGUCAAAUGGACUGGUGGGACGGAUGGAAUGACGUACACACAGAUGGAGAGAGUGGCGAACAGAAUGACGUACACACAG